RNAcentral lists this ribosomal RNA (1080 nucleotides) under Frigoribacterium sp. 684G61. RNAcentral describes it as "bacterial SSU rRNA". It matches the Rfam family "Bacterial small subunit ribosomal RNA", at positions 56 to 1146 of the family's 1533-position model. Lineage: Bacteria; Bacillati; Actinomycetota; Actinomycetes; Micrococcales; Microbacteriaceae. The record is from RNAcentral.
UGCAAGUCGAACGGUGAAAGAGGAGCUUGCUCCUCUGGAUCAGUGGCGAACGGGUGAGUAACACGUGAGUAACCUGCCCCAGACUCUGGGAUAAGCACUGGAAACGGUGUCUAAUACCGGAUACGAGCUUCAGCCGCAUGGCUAGGAGCUGGAAAGAAUUUCGGUCUGGGAUGGACUCGCGGCCUAUCAGCUAGUUGGUGAGGUAAUGGCUCACCAAGGCGACGACGGGUAGCCGGCCUGAGAGGGUGACCGGCCACACUGGGACUGAGACACGGCCCAGACUCCUACGGGAGGCAGCAGUGGGGAAUAUUGCACAAUGGGCGCAAGCCUGAUGCAGCAACGCCGCGUGAGGGACGACGGCCUUCGGGUUGUAAACCUCUUUUAGUAGGGAAGAAGCGAAAGUGACGGUACCUGCAGAAAAAGCACCGGCUAACUACGUGCCAGCAGCCGCGGUAAUACGUAGGGUGCAAGCGUUAUCCGGAAUUAUUGGGCGUAAAGAGCUCGUAGGCGGUUUGUCGCGUCUGCUGUGAAAACUGGAGGCUCAACCUCCAGCCUGCAGUGGGUACGGGCAGACUAGAGUGCGGUAGGGGAGAUUGGAAUUCCUGGUGUAGCGGUGGAAUGCGCAGAUAUCAGGAGGAACACCGAUGGCGAAGGCAGAUCUCUGGGCCGUAACUGACGCUGAGGAGCGAAAGCAUGGGGAGCGAACAGGAUUAGAUACCCUGGUAGUCCAUGCCGUAAACGUUGGGAACUAGAUGUAGGGACCAUUCCACGGUUUCUGUGUCGCAGCUAACGCAUUAAGUUCCCCGCCUGGGGAGUACGGCCGCAAGGCUAAAACUCAAAGGAAUUGACGGGGGCCCGCACAAGCGGCGGAGCAUGCGGAUUAAUUCGAUGCAACGCGAAGAACCUUACCAAGGCUUGACAUAUACCGGGAAAAGUUCAGAAAUGUUCUCCCCGCAAGGUCGGUAUACAGGUGGUGCAUGGUUGUCGUCAGCUCGUGUCGUGAGAUGUUUGGGUUAAGUCCCGCAACGAGCGCAACCCUCGUUCUAUGUUGCCAGCACGUAAUGGUGGGAACUCAUAGGA